This 511-nucleotide ribosomal RNA is filed under the name uncultured bacterium. RNAcentral describes it as "bacterial SSU rRNA". It matches the Rfam family "Bacterial small subunit ribosomal RNA", at positions 24 to 518 of the family's 1533-position model. The record is from RNAcentral.
UCAGAACGAGCGCUGGCGGCGCGUCUUAAGCAUGCAAGUCGAACGGCAAGGAUGGUAGCUUGCUACUAUCCCUAGAGUGGCGGACUGGUGAGUAACACGUGGGUGACCUACCCUGAGAUGGGGAUAGCCAUUAGAAAUAGUGGAUAAUACCGAAUACGCUCUACAGACUCUGGUUUGUAGAGGAAACAGGCUACGGCCUGGCUCGAGGAUGGGCCCGCGUCCCAUUAGCUAGUUGGUGAGGUAAGAGCCCACCAAGGCGACGAUGGGUAUCCGGCCUGAGAGGGUGUACGGACACAUUGGGACUGAGAUACGGCCCAAACUCCUACGGGAGGCAGCAGCUAAGAAUAUUCCGCAAUGGACGAAAGUCUGACGGAGCGACGCCGCGUGGAUGACGAAAAGGCCGAAAGGUUGUAAAAUCCUUUUGCUGAUGAAGAAUAAGCGUGGUAGGGAAUGACUGCGUGAUGACAUUAGUCGGUGAAUAAGCCCCGGCUAACUACGUGCCAGCAGCUGC